GAUAAACGCUGGCGGCGCACAUAAGACAUGCAAGUCGAACGGAAGUCGUUAUAAAAAGGAUUGAAGAUUUAUCUGAUUGAGAUUUUAUAACAAUGGCUUUAGUGGCGGACUGGUGAGUAACGCGUGAGCAACCUGCCUACUAGAGGGGAAUAGCAGUGAGAAAUCAUUGCUAAUACCGCAUAUGCCAUGAACAUCACAUGAUGAAAAUGGGAAAAGAGUAAUCUGCUAGUAGAUGGGCUCGCGUCUGAUUAGAUAGUUGGUGGGGUAACGGCCUACCAAGUCGACGAUCAGUAGCCGGACUGAGAGGUUGAACGGCCACAUUGGGACUGAGAUACGGCCCAGACUCCUACGGGAGGCAGCAGUCGGGAAUAUUGCGCAAUGGAGGAAGCUCUGACGCAGUGACGCCGCGUAUAGGAAGAAGGUUUUCGGAUUGUAAACUAUUGUCGUUAGGGAAGAUACAAGACAGUACCUAAGGAGGAAGCUCCGGCUAACUACGUGCCAGCAGCCGCGGUAAUACGUAGGGAGCAAGCGUUAUCCGGAUUUAUUGGGUGUAAAGGGUGCGUAGACGGGACAACAAGUUAGUUGUGAAAUCCCUCGGCUUAACUGAGGAACUGCAACUAAAACUAUUGUUUUUGAGUGUUGGAGAGGAAAGUGGAAUUCCUAGUGUAGCGGCGAAAUGCGUAGAUAUUAGGAGGAACACCGGUGGCGAAGGCGACUUUCUGGACAAUAACUGACGUUGAGGCACGAAAGUGUGGGGAGCAAACAGGAUUAGAUACCCUGGUAGUCCACACCGUAAACGAUGGAUACUAGGUGUAGGAAAUGAUUUCAUUUUCUGUGCCGUCGCAAACGCAAUAAGUAUCCCACCUGGGGAGUACGGCCGCAAGGUUGCAACUCAAAUGAAUUGACGG
RNAcentral lists this ribosomal RNA (908 nucleotides) under uncultured Bacillota bacterium. Its description in RNAcentral is "bacterial SSU rRNA". It matches the Rfam family "Bacterial small subunit ribosomal RNA", at positions 28 to 916 of the family's 1533-position model. Lineage: Bacteria; Bacillati; Bacillota. The record is from RNAcentral.